Molecule: ribosomal RNA, 501 nt
Filed under: uncultured bacterium
Lineage: Bacteria
Description: partial 16S ribosomal RNA
Rfam family: Bacterial small subunit ribosomal RNA
Source: RNAcentral
UGGGGAAUAUUGCACAAUGGGCGAAAGCCUGAUGCAGCAACGCCGCGUGAGUGAUGAAGGUCUUCGGAUUGUAAAGCUCUGUCUUUUGGGACGAUAAUGACGGUACCAAAGGAGGAAGCCACGGCUAACUACGUGCCAGCAGCCGCGGUAAUACGUAGGUGGCGAGCGUUGUCCGGAUUUACUGGGCGUAAAGGGUGCGUAGGCGGAUGUUUAAGUGAGAUGUGAAAUACCCGGGCUUAACUUGGGUGCUGCAUUUCAAACUGGAUAUCUAGAGUGCAGGAGAGGAGAAUGGAAUUCCUAGUGUAGCGGUGAAAUGCGUAGAGAUUAGGAAGAACACCAGUGGCGAAGGCGAUUCUCUGGACUGUAACUGACGCUGAGGCACGAAAGCGUGGGUAGCAAACAGGAUUAGAUACCCGGGUAGUCCACGCCGUAAACGAUGAGUACUAGGUGUAGGAGGUAUCGACCCCCUUCUGUGCCGCAGUAAACACAUUAAGUACUCCG